UUCAACAAGCCAUCUCCAAAGUCUCCCAGGGGACCUCCAAGAAUGUCAUCUUUUUUUCUGGAGGAAAAAUCCAAACCUAUGGCAGCCUUGCCAUACUCAGAAAGUCAAUAUCUUGGUUGGACACCACAUUUUCUUCUAUCACGGAAUCAUCCUCAUCGCCUCCCUGUGCCUCUCCCUCUCUUCCCUUUUCCUUCUCAAACUCUGAAUUUUUCAAGAAACAACCAAAGACUCAAGACCCAACACCCAUCACUCAUCUCCCACCCCGACCAGGGCUGCAGUCUUGUAAUCCAUGGCUGAUUACAACUACAAUCACAACAGAUCAAAGUCCUAUGGAGGACCCAAUAUGAUGCAGUUGCAGCCAUACUAUGGACCGCCGCCGCCACAAUCACACAGCGACCUCAGGUGCUACAGCGCAUCAUAUGCACAGACAGACGUGUGGGGCGCUUACAGCAACAGCAACUUCAACAGGGAUUUGAAGUUGAAGAAAGGGAAGAGCACAUCCGGGUCAACCUCAAAGUCAUGGAGCUUCAGCGACCCUGAGUUACAGAGGAAGAAGAGGGUGGCUAGCUACAAGAUGUAUGCAGUUGAAGGCAAGGUGAAAGGGUCUUUCAGGAAGAGCUUCAGGUGGCUCAAGGAUAGGUUCUCAUUCUCGUUGAAGUAGUUUAACAACUGCUGUGACAUCCUUCAUUGUGAAUUGGUGUACUUCUUCAUGAUUGAUCACGGAUAUUGCCUAUUGAUGUCCAUGAACACAACCUUCUCUGUCAAAGGACUGUCAAAGUGAUCUUUCCUGCAGCAACUCAAGGACGAAUUCUUUUGUUUUUCUUGAAUUAUCUGAUGUUCACUAUCGAUUAAGUUCAGGUGGAUUCAUCAUAAGCAAGGCCUGUCUUGUCGGAGAGUUAGCUAUAACUGGGUACCCUCCUGAAAACAUUGUCAUCAAGUCUAGUGUAUACUGCAGGAACACGGGUUCAGCCUAGCAAUAGCCAUUAGCAAAAUCUUUGCCAAGAUCAACAUGUUGAAUGUCGGCAACUGUUCUAAUAAGCAAAGGCGGGAUAUGCAUAUCGAUUUCAUCUCAUUCUUCGACAUCUCCAACUUCUUGGACCAUAACAUUGUGCUUGUGGCUCUACUGAUUGGUGUAGCAGCGCGGUAAGCGAUUCCAGCAAUGGCUUCUGCUUCAAUGCUUGCCAUGCCAUACAUGGGAUUCAAAUUGCAAGCAACCUUUUCAACAGGAUGGCCAAAUACUUUAGUUUUUCUCCUUUGAGACCUAUUUAAAUUAGCAGUCGUUUGAUGUGAUUUAGGUUAAGGAACUCUUCUGCUCAAAAUAAAUGGAGGUCAUGUCACCAAUUUUGUUUUCA
Eucalyptus grandis is the source of this 1352-nucleotide RNA transcript. RefSeq lists it as uncharacterized. The transcript has 3 exons. Lineage: Eukaryota; Viridiplantae; Streptophyta; Magnoliopsida; Myrtales; Myrtaceae. The record is from RefSeq and is a predicted model, not a curated record.